Molecule: ribosomal RNA, 207 nt
Filed under: uncultured bacterium
Lineage: Bacteria
Description: partial 16S ribosomal RNA
Rfam family: Bacterial small subunit ribosomal RNA
Source: RNAcentral
UGCGUAGACGGUUAUUUAAGUCGGGUGUGAAAGCCCCGGGCUCAACCUGGGAAUUGCAUUCGAGACUGAAUAGCUAGGGUACGGUAGAGGGAAGCGGAAUUUCCGGUGUAGCGGUGAAAUGCGUAGAUAUCGGAAGGAACAUCAGUGGCGAAAGCGGCUUCCUGGACCAGUACCGACGUUCAGGCACGAAAGCGUGGGGAGCAAACA